AACGCAUAUUGCACCUUUUGGUAUUCCGAAAGGUACACCUGUUCGAGCGUCAAUACAUUUUCAAGUUUAGCUUGGUGUUGAAGGAAAUUGACUUCAAUUCCUUCGAAACUCUUUUGGUUUCCUCGAUCAUUCGAGUGCAACGGAAUUCGUAAGCACAGAAAUGACUGAGAAGAUCAGAUUCGAUCUUGAUAUCCAUCUCGAUCUCGAUCUUGACCUCGAAUCAGGUGAGGAUACCCGCUGAACUUAA
This 247-nucleotide unclassified non-coding RNA is filed under the name uncultured fungus. RNAcentral's name for it is "sequence contains ITS2". The record is from RNAcentral. Lineage: Eukaryota; Fungi.